This 24-nucleotide non-coding RNA is filed under the name Drosophila melanogaster (fruit fly). Lineage: Eukaryota; Metazoa; Arthropoda; Insecta; Diptera; Drosophilidae. RNAcentral also lists the same sequence under 5 other names. The record is from RNAcentral.
CCCGGAUAGCUCAGUCGGUAGAGC